GAGAAAGUUUGCAUAAUUACACCGAGUGAGAACAAUCAGUUAAUCUUGGUGAUAAGCAGAAUUUGGAUUUAAGCCAAACUGCAGCCCACAAAUAGCUUUAGUGUGCUGGAAGGUCAUGUCUGCUGUCAGCAGAGGAGGUAACAAUUUCUGAAAGGACUAUCUUGAGAAAGUUCAUUAGAACUACACAAAUGCCUACACGGAAGAGAUCAUGUAUAAAAGCUGUAUAAAUUAAAGCUGACAUGCCCAGUGUCCUCGUUACAGUUCUCCACCCCAUGUUCUGGGGAGGCAUGGAAGUUCUUUCAUCCAAUAUAGACGAUGUUUAAGCCAACAAGGUGUGAGACUUGAUCCUCACUGUACCUUUAAAGCUGCUUCUACGAUGCAUUAACCUCAGCCUUGCCUCCUGGAAAAAGGAGAAUGAGACCUGCUGGAGACAGAGUGCUUCUUCUCUAGGGACUGGCUGGAAGACAACAUGGAGAAAAUAAAAGUCUAUUAAACAAACAUGGGACUUUGUGAAUAAGGAAGAUUUUUUUCAUCAGAAAAUAUUUCCCUCUUAACUAGAGCAGAACCAGACAUGUGUUCUGCAAAAUAGAUUAUUUUCUAUUGGAAACAAGGGAACAUUGACCGGGUGCUGAGGAGUCAUUGAGGCAAAUGAAGAAGGCUGCCGCAGGAGUGGUACCCUAAGCCAGACAGACUUAAUCUCUGGCAACAAAAGGAACGGAAACACUGGGGAACAAAGGAGUCACUGUUCCUGAAGUGCCAGCUCCAUUGCAGCACAGUUGUGAUCUCUGCCGUGAGCUGCUCCAUCAUUUUGCUGCAUUGGUGGGUGUGAUUUUUUUCCCUUUGUGUUCCCUGACUUACAGAACAUUUCAUAAAGUGUGUGGAGAAAGGAGAGACGUGAGGGCUCAGACUGGCCAUUAAAGCUCUGCUUGUACUGCAAUGAAAUGCAAGUUCUUCUGUAAGAAAUAUGUCCUGGGUAAGACCCAGCCAGGCACAAAACUUCGUGCAUAUACGUUGGAUUAUGGAAGUUUUUUUAUGAUAAAUGUGUUGUGGGCAGUAGCAGCCGGCAGUGAUGGGGAGUCCACAGGGACAACAUCAUGAUUAACGUCCUGGGCUGGAUAUAUCACCUCUAGGUCUGUCUUACCUCACUUAAACAAUUUGUUUCAUGGCUUAUCAUAGUCAAAUACCAGCGUAACAAUGUGAAUCAAACCACUACGAGUACCAUUUUUUUGCCUGAAGAAGCUUCAGACUCCUAGAAAAUGCAAUACAAUAAUAUAACAUUGUGACAUAAGAAUAAUAUAUGAGGUUGAAUAAUAAUGUGUAAUAACACGUGAUUCUGUAUUUUUUUUUGCUAUAUCUACUGCAAUAAAAAUAUAUUUUAAUAAUAUUUUUGUGUAUACAGGUAGGAAGAAAAUACAUUAAAACCCAAGAGAAAAAGUCUAUGAGGAUAAAGCUCUAUUAUCCCGAUUCAAGAAAAAAGACAGGAUGGGAUAUUCAUAAAUUCUGUAUAGACUGUAUAUAAUGAAGUUAUUCUUCACAGAAUAAGGGCUAAAUGGAGAAAGGUGAAACGAGACGGAAGAUGGUUUAAUUGAAUGUAGGUUUGUCAAAAUUCUUCCUCAAAUGAUUGAUGAAAAAUGACUGGCUAAACCUCUUAAUUAAUCAAUUCUGUAGCAAAAAAAUAGAGUGUCAGACAGAAUUUCAGUUUUUAUAUUACUUGAUGAGUUUGCUUUAAUUGUAAAUUUAUUGCCAAAAUAAACCUGAAAGGUAGAUGAACUGAAAAUAAUCCAUGUAUAGCAAACUAGAGGUUAUGACUAAAGUACCUCUAACGCAAUUCUCUCUUUCUUGGGUACGUACAACACUCAUUAAAGCAAUAACAAUCACAGAAGGAAAAUAUAAUCCAUAAAAUACCUUCAGAUUGGAUUAGCAUUAUACAGUGGAUCAAGCAUAUUCUUGAAGUAAAUUCAUUGCCUUUGAUGGAGCGACAUAGUAGACAAGUUCAGUUCAGUCUAUUUAAUUUCCACUGUGAGUAUUGAACAGGGGAAGGGUGUUUAAGCUCAUAAUUGGCACACCAACGUAUGGAAGAGAAGUAAAUAUGCUAUUAAUGAGGAGCUAAAUAUUGACAUAUAGCGAGAAUAAAUUAUAUCAAAACAUUAAAUGUAACUUGCUUAAUGCACUAUUAAGUAUCCAAAUAUUGUGUAUAUGGAAUUGUAAUUAUAUGUUUGGAUUCUGAACUAAUUACACGGCAAGAAAAAUGAAGAUUUUUUCAAACACUUGGGACUGACCUAUCUUUACCCCAACAGAAGCCGAUGACGGAAUUAACUAGCACUGUGUUUUGUCUCAGCUAUUACAACUCACCAUAAGGAAAUGUUGCAUUGCUGGUUACAUCUGCAAACACGGCCUUUCCAUUAGGAUAUGAGGUACUUUAUAAAUCUGUCACUUUAAGAAAAUCUUCAAUUUAUUUUUCAGUGUUGUACGUCAUUACAGGAGAAAGCGGUGUCACUGAGCCUCAUCUACUACAGACUACUACUACAUUUGUCUUUUGAUUGCUUUGUGCCAUGCAUGCAUUAUCAAAUUCUUGGCAACAAACCCACAACAAAUUCAGUAAGAGUAACUUUUUAUAGCGCAUAAAGAUGUUCCUCAAAAUGAAAGCAUAGGAAAAGAAAACUCUGAGGAAGGUAGAAAGGUAGAUUGUAAUUUUUCACACAAGAUUCAGAUCUUCACAAGAAGUGGCAUUAGAAUUUGUGGCACCACAAGGACUUUAAAAGUGCUCAAAAGCAUUGGUAGCAGAGAAAACAGAAGGGAAUAUGAAUAUCAUAUCAUUGCAUAUCAUUGGUUAUCCUGAUGAUGUGGAAAGCACAUCAUGCUUUGCACUUCAGAGAUAUCAACCCUAACAGAAUAGAUUGAUUUCAAUUCCUAUCUCAGCUUGAUAAGAUUUAUUAAGAGCUCAAAAGUUAGCAGGCUGGUUGCCUCAGAACUAAGAGAUGGAAAUAAGUUAAUACCUGUGGGUACAAGUGGGAGGAAGAACAGUUUUUAAAUUAAAACGCUUUAAUAUACAGGAAAAAAAAACAAUUACAUGGGGUUUGACAUGUGGCUUGUGUCUGUUUGUUUGUUUGUUUUCCCCCAGAAAACACUAUGAAGAUAUUUUAAAGGAUUUUAUUUACAGGGGAUGAAGGAUCUCACACACUUAGGCUCUUGUUCAGGAUAUAUUCUAUUCACAGUGGAUGAAGUCAUGCCAUUAAGGCAUAACUAUGUAUAGGUUGUUAGUAUAAUGACAUUAAUAGCUUAGCUUCUGCCCAUGUAGCUGAAGUAACAAAAAGCCUUGUAAUUUAAAUAUGUUUUAAUAGUGAUAACUGUUAUAAUAGAUAUCAAAGUAAUACUAUGUUAAAACCUAUAUAUAUACUAUUAUCAUAGUCAUAAGUCUUUGUAAAUAUCUGUCUUGAAAUACCUUUUAAUAACUAUUUUAAAUACUCCUACUUACAGAUUAUUAUUAUGCAUGUAAAAUAAGUAGAUAUGCAUGCAUGCAUGUGAAGAUGGAAAUAAUUAGGAUAAAUAAAAUAACUUACACAACAAGGGUAGACAUAAGAUUAUGGCUGGUCCAUUAAAGUCUAUGAAUAUCUGCCCAUUGACUUCAAUUAGCUCUGAAUUAGGCACUUAACCAGCAGGAAGCAAAUGGAAUAUUCUAUUUGAUUAUCCUGGUCAAUGAGCAAUGAAUGCAUAAAAAUAACUGUCCACAGACCCCAAUGGAAUUGGCCUCUCUAAACUAAGCUAAAAAAAUGGAAACUUUUCAUUAUAUUAUUCUUACUUUUUUUCUUUUCUGUUGCAAGCAUUCUGGGUAUUUCAGAGGUAAAGAACCACCAUCUUCUCUAUGAUGAAUUUAUGUCCAGUUUCAAGGUUGCAGAAGAACAGGGGUCCACCAGAACACAUUAAUAUUCUUGAAAAUUUAUUUUAAGGGGAUAUUUUUUGAUGGUUUCAAAUAAUUUUUUGCUACAAAGCCCAAAAGAUGUGCUAUAUUCUCAUAAACCCAGACAGCAGACAGUUCAAAUGGAAAGGAAGAUGUGACUUGAAGCAAACCCUGUAGGGAGUCACCACCACCUUCUGCAGUGGUCAACAGAAGUAGCAGGUGCUGAAAUCAACUUUUUUUCCUGACUGUAAUGACAACAAGAGAAAUAGAAGAAGCUUAUAGAAACACUUGGGAAGUUGCUUGCUGACUCAUGUGACAACAAUCGGUGUCUGAAAUGGAGCUAGUUAAUAUUCUCAUUAUGAUAAUCACAUUCAACAUUUCCCUUUAUUUUUCCAGGUUCUUCCCUUAGCUAUCUUUCUCUGAGAUAAGAAAAUUGUUAUCAGUGUAUCAGCUCAGAUACAUUUCAUGGGAAGAAUGGCAAGAAUUAAUUCUGGUCUAGCUGAGGAGAGUACAAUUAGGAAGCCUUCAUGAUGAGACUAAAUCUCCAGAUUAUUGAAUCAGAUAUCCUCAUUUCAGAUGGCUCUGAAAACCUAAUAAUCCAUUUACUUUCCAAAAUGCACUUAGACAUAAUCACCACUGUAAGAUGAGGAGAGAGGAAAAACUACUUGUAAAUGGUCUCAGAGAAAGCAAUAAUUUUAUAAUUGUGGAAGAUUGUUUGUAAAGUUAAAGAUAAAAUGUGUUUUGUUGCCUUUUUAUAAAUAUUAAUUCUAUUAGUCCAGUGCAAUACUUCUGACAUCUCAUGUAAAAACUGGUAUCUUUCACAAGUUAUCUUUGACUCCUCAUUUUUCACACACAUUUUUCUGUGCUACUUGGACCUAUGAUCAACAUAGUGAUAGCGUUGAAAGAAUAAUCAUAAUGGAUGAUGCUGCCUGACUGUGUUUCACUGGAAACUCAUUUGGGCAGCAUUAUCCAAACUUUGACACAUCGGUGGCUUGUCAUCUAUUUUGUAAGGAACUCAGGGAGAAGAUAAAAAAGCAACUUCAGAUUUGAUAAUUGCUUUCCACAAUUAUAAAUGAAUGUUACUCUAACUUCCAGCUUGUCUUUGACUCCAGAACUGAAUGAACUUUGUGUUCCCUGUCCUCUGGAGAUCAUGAUUGUUAUGAAUACAAAGCAUUUAAACAUCCCACUAUGCAAAAUUUGAGAAGAGAUGGGGGGAAAAAAGAAAUAAACAAAAUACCCCCAGACAGAAUUUUCAUCUGUGUCAAAGAGUGGGAGAGCAACUUAAAGGAGAUGUUCCUAUAUUACUGUCCUUCCUAGUCACUUUGUACCUUACUUCGGGGAAAAAAUGGUCAUCAAAUAAUUCCAUCUACGGUGCCUGGACUGGUCUCUAGUGCCUUUAAGCACAAGGUCUUAAUUUCUGGAGCCGUGCUUAACAGGUAACCCUGAAACUGAUGGUUUAGUAGGCUUGAAAUUAACCUGGAAGCAACAGAAAGAUGGUCAAGUCAUAGCAGAUGAGUUUUUGGUUUUACGUUGUAUAGUUCAGUUCAAAUUCUGUAACUAGCCAAUAAAUCUUACAUUAGUCUGAUGGGAAUGGUGACUCUGAGACCUCAGUGAGCCAGAAAGAAAAAGCUUGAGUGUUUUCCAACAUUUCCUAACCCACUAAUCUUCCAACAAUCUCCAAGUGUUUCAAAGCCCUUGAGAGAACACCAGGAACUUCUCCUGUUUUACAGAAUCAUAUUCAUUCAAUUGAGGAAGAGAAAUUACAUGGAUGCAAUUAUGUGAUUAAUCACAGCUGACCAUGCGUGUCCAGAGUGCUGAACACUAUGAUGAUCAAUAAGCAAAAGACAUUGGAGAGAGAAAAUAAUCACAUAAGCCCAAAUAACAAAUUUAAAGUACUCAGGAUCUACUUGUGAAUAUUUCAUGAACUGAAGAUGAAGCAAAAUUUGACAAAUUAUUAUUUUUCCAUUUCUGAUAAUAAGUAUUUUCAUUUUAGGCUUUGUGAGAUUUUUAUUCCUGAAUUGUAAUAAAGUAUUUCUGUAUUAAGAAAUUUUGGGGAAUUAAUUCAUUCAUAAUAUGUAGAAAAGGGGAAAAGUAUUACUUGCCUUUGAGUCUGAAAAACAAUUUCUGAUUACUUUUAGUAGAUAAUUCCUUAAAAUCAUGUCUCUGUCACAGUAUCCUUGUGUAGGAAUGAAAUAUAAUUGUUACAUCAUUGUAAAUAUGUGACUAUGGUGCUGGUGAAAAGAAGCAUCCUAGGCUUUUGCACUUUAAAAAAUACCUUUUAAAUAUAUGUGAUUUCAGUGUUGUCUUUUACACUGCUAAGAUGUCUUUCUGUUCCUACUUACUGCAACUUGUUAAAAUUACGUACUGCUGCUCUUUUUGAUCCUAACAAUUUACCAAUAUUUGCAUUCUGGCAGGAUUGAUCUCUGUUGAAAAUAUCUUUGCUUAGAUACUGAUGGCAUGUAAAUGAUGUAACAGUCCUUACAUAUAAAUUAGUUUUCAGGAAUUCCUCUUUCCUGAGCCUAACAGGAGCCAGAAUACUCCAGAUGGUGGUGCUCGAUGGUCCUGUCACUGCACUGCUUCCCAAGGUUGCAUUGUGAUUCUUUUUCUAUUUUCCAUAACCUUCUCCUCAUAUCCUAAGCCCUGAGGGGUGGAACCUUCUCCAUGUGUCCUUGUUCUAUGCUGUUCAGCCCAAGCCAAAGCUCCUCCUGGUAAAUACAGAAGAGCAUUCCUGUUGCACUCAUAGAUGGCUGAGUCCAUGGCAGCAAAUAUUUUUCUUGCUGCAUACAUGAAAUUUAAUGUAUUCCUGCCCCUUCUUUCUUCUGCAAACUCCACCAACUGCAUGUAGUUUGUCCUGUUCCUUUUAUAAUAGAGACAAUCUUCCUUUUUUUUUAGUUUUUUUUUCCCCUUCCUCUCCCCUCCCACCUGGUUAUCUGUGUAACUUGAGGGGAAAUAUAUGCUUCUAACAACCAACUUCUUCACGUUGUCAUAGAAAAGAUUACACAGCAAUGAUUUGUGUAAAGAGAGAAAUACCUUCUACGGUGCUACUUACGAAUGUCUUAAAACAAAAGCUAUACCCUUGAGGGCAAUGAAUAGCUGUUUUCAUCUCAAUUUUGUUUUGUGCUGUUCUUUGAUCUAACAUGAAAAUCAUUACAAUUUAUGAGAUAAGGCAGCAGACAAGACCCCGGGGAGUUCUUCGUUAUGUAACGCUACAUCCAAUUCAUUAUUUUGUGACUGUCUUCCUCAAAUAGCUUUCUGAAAGAUCAAGUUAGUCAAAGCUACUGUGGGUUUUUAGCUUUGCUAAAAUCUACCGUAUUACACGCUCAGUGAAUUUCCACAGCUUUUGUUCGAGUCACUGACAGCACCUGUCAUUUGCCUUUUUAUGUCUUGAAAGCUGCUGGUGGCAGCAUAAUCAAAGAUGCUGAGUAAAAAUACAUAUCCCAGAGCAGUGGCCUGUAAAAGAAGGCUACUUAUAUUUUAGCAUAGACUGUAUAUGUCACAACCUGUAGUUUUGUGGUGAUUUUUUUCUUGUAUGUGUCAACACUUUAUUGCACAUCAGGUAUCUGGGCAAGUUAGUAAAAGAGAAGUACUCUUAAGGAACUAAAAUUUUAUCCUUUCUUUUUAUAUAGAAAGGAGGAGGGAAAAGUUUGCUUCACCAGUUGAGUGUUAGAGCCAAAAGAAAUGAGUCAACCCCAUGUUUCAAGAUAUUAACAAAAUGCUAAUUUUUGAGGGCUUAUUACUUAGAUCUAAGUUCUUAAUAGUUAUAAAUCGCCACGAUUAAGGGCCCGGUGUUCCCACUACUGCAAAAAAUCACAUCUCUGCUAUCUACUUACAUUUUAAUUGAGGAAAACAAUUUUUUCAUCUCCUCUACCCUUUACUCCACAAAGAAAAAAAAAAUAACAUUAUUUUUGACUUUUCAAGGGAAAAAUAUUGAUAUUUCAUUCCUAAACUCUUACUGCACAGUUUGUAUAAAGAAACAGUCACAGAAUAGUGACCUCUUUGAAGAAGAAACUUGUAUUUCAAUCACUCUCACUUCUGUCUGUCCAGCUGUGCAAAACAACAAAGCAGAGGAAACUCAUGCCCUGUGCCCACUCUAAAAGUCGAAAUGGCUCCAUUCCUUCAGAAAGCAGAGAACAAAGUUAUCUGCAAGAUUUCCUAGAGAGUUACACUCUCUGUAUGUCUAUGAGUACCACAUUUUGCAGGCUGGUACAGAGUAAACCUUGCUGAUGUGUACGGGGAGCACCUUGCACAGCUGGGGGAUGUUAGAAAAAUUUAGGAACCUAUAGAGUUGGGCUUUACCUAGUGAUUAACUUUUAAAAAAAAAUACAUAUCUUUGGAGGGGAAAUACUCAAUUCAAUGGAUUUGUCAUGUUCUGAGUAGUCAUGAGCAGAAAAUGCUGUAUUUGUUAGAGCCAAAAAAGAAUGUUAUUUUCUCUAGUGGUGCUAUUAAGUUACCUGUUGUACAUAGAUUGUGUCAUGAAAUACUUCAGACUUCUUGUAGCUACAAGUGAGAAGUACAGUUUUAAGAAAUGAACUUUUGAUAAUAUAACAUCUUUGUGUACUGCAGCCAAGACCAUGCAGUUUUCUGUACAGCUGUGAACAGCAGCCUCUCUUAAUUAAAUAUGUUGUGCACUCUGAGACUACGAAUGUUGUUUUACUUUGUUUAUUUUCCACUUCCAAUUGUCACUAGAUCUUUGGAUGGGAUGGAUGGGAUUUUGCCAGCAGUUUUAUUCCUUCCAUUCAAGGAAUUAUUUUUGUUCUUAUGACUGGCCAGUUGCAAUUAUGGGAGACGUACAUGCUAAAGCUUUGCAGAAUUCAGUGGGAAUAGUUUCCUCUGCUGUGGCUUUCAUAACUCAGCCAAACAAAUCCUAUAAUAGGGCUAUAAUUUUGUUGUGUUCUCCUUCAAGGUUUGAAAUACAUUGCAGUCUUUUUUAAUUACAUAUUACAAGUUCGUUUGUUAUUUGGGUUUUGUUUGUUUGUGUGUUUUGGCUUGGUUUUGUUUAUUUGUUUGAUUUUUAAUUCAACUGCAUUAGGAUGUGUGAAUGGAGAACGUCCCAAUCCUGAGAACAUCAGAAGAAGCUGCUACUUCCCAGCAGCAGUAGCAUUGUAUGCUUUAAGUCAAUAAACUACCACGUUUCAAACCCAA
Columba livia (rock pigeon) is the source of this 9040-nucleotide long non-coding RNA. RefSeq lists it as uncharacterized. The transcript has 7 exons. Lineage: Eukaryota; Metazoa; Chordata; Aves; Columbiformes; Columbidae. The record is from RefSeq and is a predicted model, not a curated record.